UGAAGGGGAAAGGAGAAGCCCCAGAAAGCUUCAUGGUCACGCCACGUAUGGGAUGCUCGGCAGCUGCCCUGGCUGGGAUCUAACAACAGGAAGCCAGCGGACCUCACGGGGCCAUUCCCAGGCUUAGAUUGAAGGGAAUCUAAGUUCGGGAAAACAAUUGGUACAGGAUGUGCAGCUUGAAGAAGCUGAGGGGAUGAAUAUACUAAAUAUGCCACGCUGUCUGCACCAUGCCAGGUAGUCUAGUAUGUAUUGGGUUCCAU
Molecule: long non-coding RNA, 260 nt
Filed under: Pan troglodytes (chimpanzee)
Lineage: Eukaryota; Metazoa; Chordata; Mammalia; Primates; Hominidae
Description: long non-coding RNA NONPTRT014820
Source: RNAcentral